This is a long non-coding RNA of Pyrus x bretschneideri (Chinese white pear), 766 nucleotides long. RefSeq lists it as uncharacterized. The record is from RefSeq and is a predicted model, not a curated record. The transcript has 5 exons. Lineage: Eukaryota; Viridiplantae; Streptophyta; Magnoliopsida; Rosales; Rosaceae.
UGCGCCACGUAGGCUUUAUAAUUUUUAGGGUCAACAACUUUAUAUUCAAAUGUGGGCAUAGUUGUAUUGGUUAGAACGGAUUUGCUCUCCAUAUGCUCCUCCAUCUCUCAAUAGUUUAGUCUAGAUUCAAGUUGAAUAUUUUCCUUUCAACAAAUUUUGUGUUAAGCACAUCUUAGUAACAAUUAAUUACACAUUCUCAAGUUCUUAACUCUAAACCCUUGUUAUAUAAAUCGAGUUUCUCGGAAGUUUUACUUGUUUGGUGUUUUGUGAAAUUACAGAAACGCAAACGGUCUUCAAUCAAUCCCUCAGAUUGCUCAAUUGAAGAAAUUGGAUGAAUUGUUGGAUAACGGUAAAUCAUCAUCCACGGUGGUUGCAAUUUCGGGGUGGAUUUGCUCGGAAACCCCCCUGGAGUGCGAGUCUAAGGAUCUCAAAGGCCUACGAGGUGUAAUUGUGGCUAAAAAGGACGAUGGAACUUUUCGUGUGAAUGUAAGAGGAGCACAAGAUGCCUCGGGCUUUACAUUUCCGGCUUCAAGUUCAGUAUUUGAAGCAGCAAAAAGAUGUUACGAUUGCACGUCAAAAGAUGAUCCCAAAGCCCUCAAGAUCCUUGGAGUCGUACGAACGGAACUGGUACUUCCCGUGGGUACUCAUCUGAAUGUCAUUGGUGAGGCUGUCAGAGAUAGCACCGGUAACAUUGAGAUUCAGGCACCGAGCGAAGGGCCAUUUUAUGUCUCUCGCAACACCACCGUUGUUUCCCUUGUUGAAGACG